This 678-nucleotide long non-coding RNA is filed under the name Sinocyclocheilus grahami. Its description in RNAcentral is "lncRNA (ENSSGRG00000007167.1)". The record is from RNAcentral. Lineage: Eukaryota; Metazoa; Chordata; Actinopteri; Cypriniformes; Cyprinidae.
CAAGUAUUUCUCAUCUUUUUAGGCUCUAGUGGAAGAGGUUGCCAUGCUUCCUGGAAAACUGGAGAAUCUGAGAGAGUGGUGUUCACUGUAUGGGUGCAGAGCCAACAGGGAGGAUGCCGUGAGCGCAAUCUGGGGUCAGGUGGCAAGAUUGCAGCGCUGUGCCAAUGAUCUGCAGACACGCUCAGAACAAUUGGAAGCAGAGUGGAGCAGUGUCACGAGGAGUGUGGAGCAGGCAGCCACUGUGUUGGAGCAAAUGGAUGCAGAACUUCCAGAUAGCAGCAGAGAGAAUCUGACUGGUGAUGAGCUGCAGGAACUGCUGCUCUUCUGGUCCCAGUACCAGGACAGGCUGGACUGUGAACAAAGAGCUCUCUCCGCUUUGGAAUUAAGAGCUGCAAGGUUGCUUGGCAUUCCCCCGGACCUGGAACAGGCCCCGCCCAUUGAGCUGUGCCAAGAGCUUCAAGCCUGGCAAGAACGUUACCAUAGUCUAAAGGAACGUAGCUCUCAGGGUCUGAGGGCAGUAAGAACAGAGGUGGAAGAGAGGGAACGAGUGCAGGAGCAGCUGGAAAGAGUCAGAGAAUGGCUGGAAUCUGCCGUCUCUCUCCUCGCUGUACUGGAGCACGAGCCCAGCAAGAAAGAACUACAGGUUAGUCACUUGUCUUGUGAUUGUGCUUUGUUAAG